This 461-nucleotide ribosomal RNA is filed under the name Ramulus mikado. Its description in RNAcentral is "partial large subunit ribosomal RNA". Lineage: Eukaryota; Metazoa; Arthropoda; Insecta; Phasmatodea; Phasmatidae. The record is from RNAcentral.
GAAUCCAGAAUUCGAAAGGGGAGAGGAUUCAACUGCACACUGGUACCCAGACGGCCUUCCGUGAGAUGGUGCCGGCCGCCCGCUGCGAUUAAUUUCGUUUGCGGUGUCGUAACCGGCACGGACUCUGCGGUUCGGCGCGAAUCUCGGACACAGGGCAGCGCACUUCCCCCCCAGUAGAAACGUUGCGACCCGUUGGGUGCCGGUCAUAGGCCUGGGUAGGAGCCCGUUCGACCCACGGCGGUGUCAAGCCACCGUGAGCUCGAGCGGACGCCCGGAUGUACCCGGCCGGCUGCCCGACGGUAGGACCAGAGGAGUCGACCCGCUAAAAAGGAAAGCAUUAUGAUUGUGAAGCGUCCGGCCCUGCUGCGACGUGCGCGAGAUUGGUUUGCAUGUCGUACGCAGGUGUCCUCGGACUGGGUCGAUACUCCCGUCCGCGGCGAUCAUUUUCGGAUGGUCUCCCG